GGCAAUUGCGGGUGCAUAAUAAUGCAGUCGACGCAAUCUUUUAGCAAUGAGUGCUUGCACCAGCGUUUUAAGUGCGAGUGGCGAACGGGUGAGUAACACGUGGGCAAUCUGCCCAAAAGUGGGGGAUAACACUUGGAAACAGGUGCUAAUACCGCAUCAACCGGCUGACCGCAUGGUCGGCCGGGCAAAGACGGCGUCAGCUGUCGCUUUUGGAUGAGCCCGCGGCGUAUUAACUAGUUGGUAAGGUAACGGCUUACCAAGGUGAUGAUACGUAGCCGAACUGAGAGGUUGAUCGGCCACAUUGGGACUGAGACACGGCCCAAACUCCUACGGGAGGCAGCAGUAGGGAAUCUUCCACAAUGGACGCAAGUCUGAUGGAGCAACGCCGCGUGUAUGAAGAAGGUCUUCGGAUCGUAAAAUACUGUUGUCAGAGAAGAACACGUGAUAGAGUAACUGCUAUGGCGCUGACGGUAUCUGACCAGCAAGUCACGGCUAACUACGUGCCAGCAGCCGCGGUAAUACGUAGGUGGCAAGCGUUGUCCGGAUUUAUUGGGCGUAAAGGGAACGCAGGCGGUCUUUUAAGUCUGAUGUGAAAGCCUUCGGCUUAACCGGAGAAGUGCAUUGGAAACUGGAAGACUUGAGUGCAGAAGAGGAGAGUGGAACUCCAUGUGUAGCGGUGAAAUGCGUAGAUAUAUGGAAGAACACCAGUGGCGAAAGCGGCUCUCUGGUCUGUAACUGACGCUGAGGUUCGAAAGCGUGGGGAGCGAACAGGAUUAGAUACCCUGGUAGUCCACGCUGUAAACGAUGAAUGCUAGGUGUUGUGGGGUUUCCGCCCUUCGUGCUGCAGCUAACGCACUAAGCAUUCCGCCUGGGGAGUACGAUCGCAAGAUUGAAACUCAAAGGAAUUGACUGGGGCCCGCACAAGCGGUAGAAGCAUGUGGCUUCAUUCGAUUCAACGCGAGACCUACCAGUCUGACAUCUUUUGACAUCUGAAAAGAUCAGACUUCCUUCGAGUCAAAUGACAGGUGCUGCAUGACUGUCGUCUAGCUCAGUCGGGAAUGCUGAUAAGUCGCGAACGAGCGCACUUAUGGCCAUUGCCAGCAUUCAUUGACGCUCGCGAACUGCGGUCAACCGGAGCAAGUGGGAUGACCCUAGCUCAUGCCUAGACUGGUCUGCACGUGCC
Molecule: ribosomal RNA, 1183 nt
Filed under: Ligilactobacillus acidipiscis
Lineage: Bacteria; Bacillati; Bacillota; Bacilli; Lactobacillales; Lactobacillaceae
Description: bacterial SSU rRNA
Rfam family: Bacterial small subunit ribosomal RNA
Source: RNAcentral